This 1343-nucleotide long non-coding RNA is filed under the name Ananas comosus (pineapple). RNAcentral's name for it is "long non-coding RNA (ACOM_LNC002790)". Lineage: Eukaryota; Viridiplantae; Streptophyta; Magnoliopsida; Poales; Bromeliaceae. The record is from RNAcentral.
CUAGCCUGCUUGGAUUAUUCUUGUUUCGACGCUCUGGAUAUUCCACGUAGCUUUUGGAUCUUCCACGUAUCUGGCCUUCUUUCACGCCUACGCCUUUCAUCACGAUAUGAAUGCGUCGAAUAUGAAUCAGAUGCCAGUCGAAUAUGACGAAUGCAAAUCGAAGAGGGCCCCUGAAGUCCUCUUCUAUAUAUAUCCAUACUCUAAAAUUCCGAAAACGUAGGUGGAAAUCCUAGAGAGAAAAAAGAGAAAGAAGAAGAGAGAAAAUUUUAUUUUUGGUUCUGUCUCUUACACCCAAAGAGAAAUGGGUUAUAUAUAUAGAUUAGGGGCAAUUGCUUACAUAUUCUUGAAAAGUUUCCAACUUUCCGAUUUACUCCUUUUAGAAGGCUACGUUCCAACCUAUUUUUAAUAUACCCCUAGAAAUUAAAAUCUGUUAAUUAAAUCUGUUAUCUAUGUAAAAUUACUAUUUUAUCCUUUCAAAUAUAUCCUUCCACCAUCAUUGACUAUCUUAUUUGCCCUUAAAGUCGGGGGCACAAAAAGUAUUUUUACUUUUGGUCUUCUCCAAUAUACCCCUUUACCGGCACCAAUAUUUCUUAUUUGCCCUUAAGUUAAUGGCAAAAUUGAUAUUUUAAUUUUUUUAACUGUGGUAGAUAUUUAACUCAUGUUUAACUCAAGUUAACUUAACAGGUAAUAACUGCGGAAGUAUUUUGUAAUAACGGUAGAACAUAUGAGAGGUAUUUUAGAAAGAAAAAAAAAAGUAAGGGUAAAUCAAAUAUUUUCAAACGUAUGAGAGGUAUAUAGGCAAUUAUCCCUAUAGAUUAUUAGGACCCCUCAAGAUAUCUUAAAUCUCACAUAGAGAUUAUAAUAAGGAUUAGAAUUAAAAUAUCUAUAAUAGAUAUCUACUAGAAAAUACGUUUCUUAACUAAUAAGAAAUAUAUAAUCAAUCUUUAUCCUUAACAUAUUAUGUCGAUUGAGUUAAAUUCGAACGGGCUAAUUAAUGUGGACACACCGCAUGGCAACUGCUUAAAUGUCAGAUAUUUGACAAACCAUAAGCUAUCGAAAAAUAAAUUAGAGUCCGGCUGGGAUACUAUUGAUAGCACCAAGCAUUUGGUACUAUCAAGUUUUCCGCCGUUAGAUUUAACUCUUUGACUAUUUUUACCCGUUAGAUUAUACUAUUAAACCAAUAACUUACUCUACCCUAGGGGCCCACAUCAUCUUAACCUUACAUUUUUUCAUCUACGGUGCUAGAUAAUAUAUUCCACCCUAGUUCAUAUAAAUUAUGUACUUAUUGAUUGAUUUAAUGUAGAAAACUGACUCAUAAAUAAUAAUAGCUUUAGGUAUAUUUU